AUGUCCUCCCUUCCAGCUGCACAGGGAAGCGUACUUGACCCAGUCAUCGCCAAAUGACAAGAGGCAGAGAACCUCUGGCCAGCGCGUGGUGGGACUUGCUCGCCUUGCUCGGUUUAUAUAUGUGUAUUUUCAGCUGCAUUUGAAGCACAUGUAGACCUGGGAAAGCAAACGCCCAGUCUAGAGGUCUCCAUGUUCUGUGUGGAGCCCAUCCUUGAAAACUGGAGUGAAAUACGUGGCCCAUACUUCACCAAUGCCGCGAUGGGUAGCUUAGAGUCUUCAGUCUAUUUUGG
This 290-nucleotide long non-coding RNA is filed under the name Pogona vitticeps (central bearded dragon). RNAcentral's name for it is "lncRNA (ENSPVIG00000019532.1)". Lineage: Eukaryota; Metazoa; Chordata; Lepidosauria; Squamata; Agamidae. The record is from RNAcentral.